UUUCCGUAGGUGAACGUGCGGAAGGAUCAUUG
Molecule: ribosomal RNA, 32 nt
Filed under: Carya environmental sample
Lineage: Eukaryota; Viridiplantae; Streptophyta; Magnoliopsida; Fagales; Juglandaceae
Description: partial 18S ribosomal RNA
Source: RNAcentral